This 253-nucleotide ribosomal RNA is filed under the name uncultured bacterium. RNAcentral describes it as "partial 16S ribosomal RNA". It matches the Rfam family "Bacterial small subunit ribosomal RNA", at positions 524 to 776 of the family's 1533-position model. The record is from RNAcentral.
GACAGAGGCCUCGAGCGUUAGGCGGAAUCACUGGGCUUAAAGCGUGUGUAGGCGGGCCCGUAAGUGUCUUGUGAAAUCCCACGGCUCAACCGUGGAACUGCUGGGCAUACUGCGGGUCUUGGGCCAACUAGGGGCAGCCGGAACAAGCGGUGGAGCGGUGAAAUGCGUAGAUAUCGCUUGGAACGCCGAAGGUGAAAACAGGCUACUGGGGUUGCGCCGACGCUGAGACACGAAAGCCAGGGGAGCAAACGGG